Molecule: ribosomal RNA, 506 nt
Filed under: uncultured bacterium
Lineage: Bacteria
Description: bacterial SSU rRNA
Rfam family: Bacterial small subunit ribosomal RNA
Source: RNAcentral
UCAGGAUGAACGCUAGCUACAGGCUUAACACAUGCAAGUCGAGGGGCAGCAUAUUGGUAGCUUGCUACCAAUGAUGGCGACCGGCGCACGGGUGAGUAACGCGUAUCCAACCUUCCCCAUAGUAGGGCAUAGCCCGUAGAAAUGCGGAUUAAUACCCUAUGUUUUCCGAAGAUGACAUCUGAUUUGGAACAAAGGUUCACCGCUAUGGGAUGGGGAUGCGUCUGAUUAGGUAGUCGGCGGGGUAACGGCCCACCGAGCCGACGAUCAGUAGGGGUUCUGAGAGGAAGGUCCCCCACAUUGGAACUGAGACACGGUCCAAACUCCUACGGGAGGCAGCAGUGAGGAAUAUUGGUCAAUGGGCGCGAGCCUGAACCAGCCAAGUAGCCGUGCAGGAUGACGGCCCUAUGGGUUGUAAACUGCUUUUAUACAGGGAUAAAGUCGGGGACGUGUCCCCGUUUGCAGGUACUGUAUGAAUAAGGACCGGCUAAUUCCGUGCCAGCCGCGGC